GUAAGGAAUAUUGGACAAUGGACGCAAGUCUGAUCCAGCCAUGCCGCGUGAAGGAUUAAGGUCCUCUGGAUUGUAAACUUCUUUUAUAAGGGACGAAAAAAGGCUUUUCUAAGUCGUCUGACGGUACCUUAUGAAUAAGCACCGGCUAACUCCGUGCCAGCAGCCGCGGUAAUAUGGAGGGUGCAAGCGUUAUCCGGAUUCACUGGGUUUAAAGGGUGCGUAGGCGGGCAGGUAAGUCAGUGGUGAAAUCCUAGAGCUUAACUCUAGAACUGCCAUUGAUACUAUCUGUCUUGAAUAUUGUGGAGGUAAGCGGAAUAUGUCAUGUAGCGGUGAAAUGCUUAGAUAUGACAUAGAACACCUAUUGCGAAGGCAGCUUACUACGCAUAUAUUGACGCUGAGGCACGAAAGCGUGUGGAUCCAACAGGAUUAGAAACCCGAGUAGUCC
Molecule: ribosomal RNA, 445 nt
Filed under: uncultured bacterium
Lineage: Bacteria
Description: bacterial SSU rRNA
Rfam family: Bacterial small subunit ribosomal RNA
Source: RNAcentral